RNAcentral lists this ribosomal RNA (252 nucleotides) under uncultured bacterium. RNAcentral describes it as "partial 16S ribosomal RNA". It matches the Rfam family "Bacterial small subunit ribosomal RNA", at positions 102 to 347 of the family's 1533-position model. The record is from RNAcentral.
GACGGGUGCGUAACGCGUAUGCAACCUGCCUGACACAGGGGGAUAAUCCGAAGAAAUUUGGUCUAAUACCCCAUAAUACCGAUAUAGGCAUCUAUGUUGGUUGAAAGCUUUGGUGGUGUCAGAUGGGCAUGCGUUGUAUUAGCUAGUUGGUGAGGUAACGGCUCACCAAGGCGACGAUACAUAGGGGGACUGAGAGGUUAACCCCCCACACUGGUACUGAGACACGGACCAGACUCCUACGGGAGCAGCAUG